GAANUGCGGAAGGAUCAUUA
Molecule: ribosomal RNA, 20 nt
Filed under: Collybia cookei
Lineage: Eukaryota; Fungi; Basidiomycota; Agaricomycetes; Agaricales; Clitocybaceae
Description: partial 18S ribosomal RNA
Source: RNAcentral